CGGAAGAUGUAACGGGGCUAAACCAUGCACCGAAGCUGCGGCAGCGACACUAUGUGUUGUUGGGUAGGGGAGCGUUCUGUAAGCCUGCGAAGGUGACCUGUGAGGGUUGCUGGAGGUAUCAGAAGUGCGAAUGCUGACAUAAGUAACGAUAAAGCGGGUGAAAAGCCCGCUCGCCGGAAGACCAAGGGUUCCUGUCCAACGUUAAUCGGGGCAGGGUGAGUCGACCCCUAAGGCGAGGCCGAAAGGCGUAGUCGAUGGGAAACAGGUUAAUAUUCCUGUACUUGGUGUUACUGCGAAGGGGGGACGGAGAAGGCUAUGUUAGCCGGGCGACGGUUGUCCCGGUUUAAGCAUGUAGGCUGGUUAUCCAGGCAAAUCCGGAUAAUCAAGGCUGAGGUGUGAUGACGAGGCACUACGGUGCUGAAGUAACAAAUGCCCUGCUUCCAGGAAAAGCCUCUAAGCAUCAGGUAACAUCAAAUCGUACCCCAAACCGACACAGGUGGUCAGGUAGAGAAUACCAAGGCGCUUGAGAGAACUCGGGUGAAGGAACUAGGCAAAAUGGUGCCGUAACUUCGGGAGAAGGCACGCUGGUGUGUAGGUGAAG
RNAcentral lists this ribosomal RNA (601 nucleotides) under Klebsiella pneumoniae. RNAcentral's name for it is "bacterial LSU rRNA". It matches the Rfam family "Bacterial large subunit ribosomal RNA", at positions 1164 to 1767 of the family's 2925-position model. The record is from RNAcentral. Lineage: Bacteria; Pseudomonadati; Pseudomonadota; Gammaproteobacteria; Enterobacterales; Enterobacteriaceae.